Molecule: small nucleolar RNA, 150 nt
Organism: Bison bison bison
Lineage: Eukaryota; Metazoa; Chordata; Mammalia; Artiodactyla; Bovidae
Source: Ensembl
ACUGCACAUUGUUAACAUUUGGAGUUGAGGCCACUGGCCAAUGAACUCACAAGUAUAGGCAGUGUGCUCCACGAGGGGCAAGUUUUUCGAAAACACCACAAGGGUUUCUGGCCCAAUGAGUGGAAUUUAAUAGUAAUACUUGCUACAGAA